GUGGGGAAUAUUGGACAAUGGGCGCAAGCCUGAUCCAGCCAUACCGCGUGGGUGAAGAAGGCCUUCGGGUUGUAAAGCCCUUUUGUUGGGAAAGAAAUCCUGUCGGUUAAUACCUGGCGGGGAUGACGGUACCCAAAGAAUAAGCACCGGCUAACUUCGUGCCAGCAGCCGCGGUAAUACGAAGGGUGCAAGCGUUACUCGGAAUUACUGGGCGUAAAGCGUGCGUAGGUGGUGGUUUAAGUCCGUUGUGAAAGCCCUGGGCUCAACCUGGGAAUUGCAGUUGAUACUGGAUCACUAGAGUGUGGUAGAGGGAUGCGGAAUUUCUGGUGUAGCAGUGAAAUGCGUAGAGAUCAGAAGGAACAUCCGUGGCGAAGGCGGCAUCCUGGGCCAACACUGACACUGAGGCACGAAAGCGUGGGGAGCAAACAGGAUUAGAUACCCUGGUAGUCC
RNAcentral lists this ribosomal RNA (450 nucleotides) under uncultured bacterium. RNAcentral describes it as "partial 16S ribosomal RNA". It matches the Rfam family "Bacterial small subunit ribosomal RNA", at positions 354 to 796 of the family's 1533-position model. The record is from RNAcentral.